UACGUAGGGUGCGAGCGUUAAUCGGAAUUACUGGGCGUAAAGCGUACGCAGGCGGCUUGAUAAGACAGAUGUGAAAUCCCCGGGCUUAACCUGGGAACUGCAUUUGUGACUGCCAAGCUUGAGUCUGUCAGAGGGGGGUGGAAUUCCACGUGUAGCAGUGAAAUGCGUAGAGAUGUGGAGGAACACCGAUGGCGAAGGCAGCCCCCUGGGAUGAGACUGACGCUCAUGUACGAAAGCGUGGGGAGCAAACAGG
Molecule: ribosomal RNA, 253 nt
Filed under: uncultured bacterium
Lineage: Bacteria
Description: partial 16S ribosomal RNA
Rfam family: Bacterial small subunit ribosomal RNA
Source: RNAcentral